UCACAGGUGGGCGAGAUGAGUAUUCUAAGGCGCUUGAGAGAACUCGGGAGAAGGAACUCGGCAAAUUGGUACCGUAACUUCGGGAAAAGGUACGCCCCGGUAGCUUGAUUGGUUUACUCCAUGAGGGUGAAAGGGUUGCAAUAAACUGGUGGCUGCGACUGUUUAAUAAAAACACAGCACUCUGCAAACACGAAAGUGGACGUAUAGGGUGUGACGCCUGCCCGGUGCUGGAAGAUUAAAUGAUGGGGUGCAAGCUCUUGAUUGAAGUCCCAGUAAACGGCGGCCGUAACUAUAACGGUCCUAAGGUAGCGAAAUUCCUUGUCGGGUAAGUUCCGACCUGCACGAAUGGCGUAACGAUGGCCACACUGUCUCCUCCCGAGACUCAGCGAAGUUGAAAUGUUUGUGAUGAUGCAAUCUACCCGCGGCUAGACGGAAAGACCCCAUGAACCUUUACUGUAGCUUUGCAUUGGACUUUGAACCAAUCUGUUAGGAUAGGUGGGAGGCUUUGAAGCGGGGACGCUAGUUCUCGUGGAGCCAACCUUGAAAUACCACCCUGGUUUGUUUGAGGUUCUAACCUUGGUCCGUUAUCCGGAUCGGGGACAGUGCAUGGUAGGCAGUUUGACUGGGGCGGUCUCCUCCUAAAGUGUAACGGAGGAGUUCGAAGGUACGCUAGAUACGGUCGGACAUCGUGUUGAUAGUGCAAUGGCAUAAGCGUGCUUAACUGCGAGACUGACAAGUCGAGCAGGUACGAAAGUAGGACAUAGUGAUCCGGUGGUUCUGUAUGGAAGGGCCAUCGCUCAACGGAUAAAAGGUACUCUGGGGAUAACAGGCUGAUUCCUCCCAAGAGUUCAUAUCGACGGGGGAGUUUGGCACCUCGAUGUCGGCUCAUCACAUCCUGGGGCUGUAGCCGGUCCCAAGGGUAUGGCUGUUCGCCAUUUAAAGUGGUACGUGAGCUGGGUUUAAAACGUCGUGAGACAGUUUGGUCCCUAUCUGCCGUGGGCGUUGGAAAUUUGAAGGGGGCUGCUCCUAGUACGAGAGGACCGGAGUGGACGAACCUCUGGUGUACCGGUUGUCACGCCAGUGGCAUUGCCGGGUAGCUAAGUUCGGAAGAGAUAACCGCUGAAAGCAUCUAAGCGGGAAACUUGCCUUGAGAUGAGAUUUCCCAGAGCCUUGAGCUCUUUGAAGGGUCGUUCGAGACCAGGACGUUGAUAGGCUGGGUGUGGAAGUG
This 1228-nucleotide ribosomal RNA is filed under the name metagenome. RNAcentral's name for it is "bacterial LSU rRNA". It matches the Rfam family "Bacterial large subunit ribosomal RNA", at positions 1657 to 2875 of the family's 2925-position model. The record is from RNAcentral.